RNAcentral lists this ribosomal RNA (254 nucleotides) under uncultured bacterium. Its description in RNAcentral is "partial 16S ribosomal RNA". It matches the Rfam family "Bacterial small subunit ribosomal RNA", at positions 524 to 776 of the family's 1533-position model. The record is from RNAcentral.
UACGUAGGUGGCAAGCGUUGUCCGGAUUUACUGGGCGUAAAGGAUGCGUAGGCGGACAUUUAAGUCAGAUGUGAAAUACCCGAGCUUAACUUGGGUGCUGCAUUUGAAACUGGGUGUCUAGAGUGCAGGAGAGGUAAGUGGAAUUCCUAGUGUAGCGGUGAAAUGCGUAGAGAUUAGGAAGAACACCAGUGGCGAAGGCGACUUACUGGACGUGUAACUGACGCUGAGGCAUGAAAGCGUGGGGAGCAAACAGG